CCCCCACAGUGACCCCUCUGCUAGGAGCCUUUCCUAGGGACCACACCUCUUUGGCAUUGGUCCAAAAUGGUGAUAUUUCUGCCCCCUCUGCCAUACUUAGAACACCAGAAAGCACAAAACCUGGUCCUGUCUGUCAGCCACCAGUGAGUCAGAACCUGUUCUCUGUCCCAUCCAAGCCACCGGUGUCUCUGGAGCCUCAAAAUGGGACAUACGCAGGACCAGCGCCAGCAUUCCAGCCAUUUUUCUUCACCGGAGCAUUUCCAUUUAAUAUGCAAGAGGUGGUACUCAAGGUGAGGAUUCAGAACCCAUCUCUUCGUGAAAAUG
This 324-nucleotide long non-coding RNA is filed under the name Rattus norvegicus (Norway rat). Its description in RNAcentral is "long non-coding RNA NONRATT005645". The record is from RNAcentral. Lineage: Eukaryota; Metazoa; Chordata; Mammalia; Rodentia; Muridae.